RNAcentral lists this ribosomal RNA (264 nucleotides) under uncultured bacterium. RNAcentral describes it as "partial 16S ribosomal RNA". It matches the Rfam family "Bacterial small subunit ribosomal RNA", at positions 88 to 354 of the family's 1533-position model. The record is from RNAcentral.
CCGGCGACCGGCGCACGGGUGAGUAACACGUAUGCAACCUGCCCGUCUCAGGGGGAUAAUCGUCGGAAACGGCGUCUAAUACCCCGUAUGAAGCUGGACGGCAUCGUCUGGUUUUGAAAGAAUAUCGGAGACGGAUGGGCAUGCGGCGCAUUAGCUAGUUGGCGGGGUAACGGCCCACCAAGGCGACGAUGCGUAGGGGUUCUGAGAGGAAGGUCCCCCACACUGGUACUGAGACACGGACCAGAUUCCUACGGAAGGCAGCAG